Molecule: long non-coding RNA, 5046 nt
Filed under: Equus caballus (horse)
Lineage: Eukaryota; Metazoa; Chordata; Mammalia; Perissodactyla; Equidae
Description: lncRNA (ENSECAG00000030612.3)
Source: RNAcentral
CUUCUUUCUCUCUCUCUCCUUUGUUCCUUCUUUCUUUUAUUUCUUCCUUCCCUCCAAUCAUCACACUUUACAAAGCACAUUCUACUGUUUAGCCUUUGGCUAGGUACUGGCAUGCAAAAAUGAAUAAGAAAUGGUCUCCCUUGUGGUCUUCAAGAAACAUUCACUUAGCAUGUGGCAGAAAUAUGCACAAUUAACAGACAGUGCCUUUUAAAUGAGAUAGGUGCUCUGAUAGUUGUAUUCAGAGCAAUAAAUUAGACCGGGGACAGCAUCCUAGAAGCAACUAGCGUUUUAGAUUGGUUUUGGGUUGCAAAUAAUCAGCUGGCCAGAUACACAAAGGCGAUGGGGAAAGAAAAUUUCAGAGAGCAGAGAAAACAUGUAAAGGCAUAGUAGGGUGUAUAUAAGUUAUAUUUUAUUGAGGAAACAGAAAUUACCCUAGGCAUUUUAAGCUGAAGAAAUUUAAUUUGAAUGAUCUUGAAAGAUCUUCUGAGGCCUAAAAACGGCCUCAUGUGUGUCAGGAAGCAAAUCCUCCUUGAGUUGAGCCUUGAGAUGACCACAGUCCAGACUGACACCUUCACUGCAGCCUGUGGAAGACCCUGAGCCAGAGGACCCAGCUAAGUUGCACUGGAUUCCUGACUCUCAGAUAAUAAGUGUAAGUUGUAUUAAGCGGCUGACUUUUGGGCUAAUUUGUUAUACAGUUAUAUAAAACUAAUGCAAGAACUUUUACCAAUUUUUGUGAGCAUCUAAUUUCCAAAUUAAAUUUCUUCAGCCUAAAGUUCCUAGGAUAGUUUCUGUUUCCUCAAUACAUCCACCAGAGCAUCUAGGUAUGAGGGUUCAAUUGCUCCAUUUACUGACUCACACUUAGUAUAGUCUGUAUUUUUAUUUUAGCAAUUCUGUAUGGUGACAUCAUAUUGUGAUUUUAAUGUUUAUUUAUCUGAUGACUAAUGAAGUUGAAUACACCUUUGUGUGUUUAUUGGCCAUUUGAAUAUCAUUAGUAGUGAAGGUCUUUUAAAAAUUUCUGUCCUUUUUUUCUAAGUCGUCUGUCUUUUUGUUAUAGAUUAUGAGUUUUUCAUAUAUCUAGAUAUGCAUCCUUUGUUAGAUAUACAUGUCUUGCCACAUUUUGUGGUUUGCCUUUUCACUUUGUUAAUGACGUCUUCUGAAAAUAAGAAGUUCCUAAUUUUAAUAUGGUCCAAUUUAUCAUUAUUUUCUUCUGUGAUUUGUAAUUUUAGUAUCCUGUUCAAGAAAUCUUUGCCUAAUCCAAGGUCAUAAAGACAUUUCCUUAUGUCUUCCUCUAAAAUCUGUAUUGUUUUACCUUUCAUAUUUAGAUCUGCAACCCACCUGGAAUUGAUUUUUGUUUAUGGUGGGAGGUAAAGGUCAAGAUGCAAUAUUUUCCUCAUAAAGUAAGUAUCCAGUGGACCCAGCAUCACUUCUUGGAAAGACCCACUUUUCAGCAUUGCACUACAGUAGAGCUUUGGUUAUAAAUCUGGUAUCUGACUGUAUGUGUGGAAGAUCCUACUAAGUUUUUGAGGAAGUUCUACUGUCAAAGACACUAUGUUAUUCAGAAAUCUGGCAUAUUUAUCUAUUUAUUUUUGAGUAAUAAAGGAAAUGGGCUAUUUAAAAUCCUAAGCCAUCACGUAGCUUCACAAAGAUCCUAAUUUUGUUAAUAGGACUUCCAAAAAUUUGCUCUCUAUAUUUUGAGAUAUCUGGUUAUUAUCCAUUUUCCUGAUCCUUGGAAAAUAUAUUGCUUGCUUUAGACAAGCUCACAGAUGUUCCAUCUGCCCAAACUCUUCUUUCUGUUUCACUGGACAGGAAGUAGCAAGCCAUGCCAUGAAUGAUGUUAUGAAUCCUGGCAAGGAUAAAGAAGCUUUUAAAGGCAUGUCCAUCAACUUUUUCCAAGAGAGCCAGAAAAGGAUCCGGGAGCCAUGCAUUCCUGCUGCUUCCUGUUUUUCCCCAGCCUGGGAUGGAGCAAGGGAUUUUGCCCAUUACAAAUGAAGCUAUAAACAUUCAUAUACAGGUUUUCAUAUGAUCAUAAGUUUCCAUUUCUCUGGAAUAAUUGCCCAAGAGUUCAACUCCUGGGUCAUAUGGUAAGUAUAAGUUCAGUUUUGUAAGAAAGUGAAACUGCUAUACUCUUUCUUCAGAGUGGCUGUACCAUUUUACAUUCUGAUCAGCAAGGUAUGAGUGAUCCAGUUUUUCUGCAUCCUUGUCAGCAUUUGGUGUUCUCACAAAUUUUUAUUUUAUUUUAGCCCCUCAUUUGGUGUGUAGUGAUAUCCCCUUGUGGUUUUGAUUUACAUUUGACUAAUGGCUAAUGAUACCGAAUAUUUUCCCACGUGAUUAUUUGCCAUCUGUACACUCGCCUCAGUAAAAUGAUUCCUUAUGUCUUUUGCCUAAUUUCCAAUUAUAUCAUUUUGUUUUUGUACUCUUAAGUUUUGAGAUUUUUUGUGAAAUAUAUGCUAAAUGCAAGACUUUUUAUGGUUAUGUGGUUUACUAAUAUUAUCUCCCAAUCUGUAGCUUGUUUUUUCAUCCUUUCCUCAAGGUCUUUCACAGGAAAAAGUUUUUAAUUUUGGUGAGGUCAAUUCACUCAUUUUUUCCUUUAAUAAAUUGUGCUUUUGUUGUCAAGUCUAAAAACUCUUCAUUUGCCAGGGAGACUUAAGACUUUCUCCUAUAUUUUUUACUAAAAGUGUGAUAGUUUUCUAUUUUACAUUUAAAUCUGCGACUCUCUUGAGUUAACAUUUUCUUAUAAGGUCUGAGGCUUAGGUAAAGGUUCUUUUUUUCGGCCUAUGCUCCAAUUGCUCUAGUGCCAUUCUUUGAAAAAUGCUUCCCCGGGGAAGUUUGAAAACCACUGCAAACUUUGGCAGAUUAAUACCCUUGCAUCUACCUCCCUCUUCUGGUGCAUUCUACAAGUUAUUAAGAAGCUUGUUCAGAGUGUCUUAGGUUCCAAACGUACUAACGCAUCUGGAGUUUGGCAAAUUUGAGUAUUUUGAGUUGAGAUCCCAAUUCAUAAAUAAAUUUCUUCACUUUCUUCUCCACUCCCCUCCUUCCUGCAUUUAUUCUUCUGUUUUUCUUCACCUUCUCUCUACCCCACUUCCAAUUCUCCUCUUCUUUCUCCUUAUCAUGGCAAGACUAGGUUGUAUAUACUAGGGAUGAGGCAAUGAACAAAUCAGACUUGUCUUCGUGGAGCUUAUACUCUGCAUGAGGGAGCAAAUAGAAAUAAUACAGGUCCAGAAGGUAAUAAGUGUCUGGAGACUAGUAGAUGUUGAUAAUAUAAUAAAGUUUAUUAGAAGAGAAGACUACUUUAAAUCAAAAUGUAAGCAAAGUCCUUUUUCAGACAGUGAUAUUUAAGCUGAAUCUUGAAUAAGGAGAUGGAAGCAGGCACUUGAGUUAAAAUCUGGGGAAGGGAUGUUGUAGGUUGAAGGAGCUAUCGAUACAAAGGCCACAAACUGUCACUGAGAGCAAUCCUUUUUGAAGACACAGGAGGUCAGUAUGAUGAAAGUUGGGAAAAAUAGUUUGAUUUUCUUUUGGGCUUAGUUGGCAGAGGACAAAUCAUGUGGGUUCUUGUAGCCCAGGAGAGAAGUUUGUACUUUAUUUUUAAUCCCAUAGGAUGACAUGGGUGGGUUCUAAACAAGAAAGUAAUGUGAUUUACAUCUUUAAAGGAUUGCCUUGGCUGCUAAGUAGAAAAAGUCAUAUGUGUGGAAACCAAAGGGAAACAGGCAAACCAGUUAAAGGGUUCCUGGAGAACUCUCAGUGAGAGAGGAUGUGGUGUGGACCAAGGUGAUGGCAGUGCAGAUGGGGAGAAGUGCUUGGAUUACAAUGAUGUUUUGGAGUAGAACCAACAGGACUGUAAAUUUAGCAGAUGUGUGGAGUGAGUAUAAGAGAGGAAUCAACAGUGAAUUCUUUGAUCUGAGAAAUUGUAUAAUUUCUCAUAAUUUACUUCAAAUUUCUCAUCAUUUCUGUAGAAUUUCUGAUAAUUUAUUUCAAAUCAUUUACUGAAAUGGGUAAAACUAGCUGAAAAUAGAUUUGGGAGGUAAUAAGUACUCAUUCUCUGUUUUGAACUUGUUAAUUUUGAGAUGUUUGCAAUACAUCCAAGUUAAGAUGCUAAGUAGUCAAAUGGAGAUACAAAUCUGGAGAUGAAGGGAAAGAUCAGAUACAAAUACACACAUUUGUCAUGUGGUAUAUAAAGCUUAGAACUUGAUGAAAUCAUGUAGGGGGAGAAUAUAGCUAGAGAUGAAGACAUGCAGAGAUCCCAACAUACAGAGGUUGUCAAGGAGUAGAAGGACCAGUGAGGGAGGAGGGAAAAGGAGAGUGUGGUAUGUCAGAGUACAACAGGAGGAUGUGUGUCAAGAAGCGGUCAGCCCUGCCAAAUGCUGACAAGGGCCAAGCAUAAUGAGAAUUUGAGUAACGUAGAGAAAUUGUUUUGGGCUUUAUGCACAAGCACUUUAUGGUGAUAGAAAUACAAGGACAGCAUUUUCUUGUGUCUCUGGUUUAGCAUCUGAAGGAAAGAGAGAAGCAAAAGAUGAGAAGUUGACUUCAGGGAAUAAGUUGUAUCAUCACAGAACCUCAAAGAGUGCUCAUUAAAUUUUCUGAGCACUUGCUCUAUUCCCUGUGUUUCCAUCAUACAGAGGUCGGUAAUGAAUUUUCUAUUCUGUCUCACCAUUUGCUUUCAUCCAUUUUUCUCAAAGGUUUUCAAUAACCAUAGCUUCGAUAACUCAGGCCUCAGUUCUAAGACCACACUGUCAGAAAAAUUGUAUGAAAGGAAAAGAAUUGAGGUGCCUGUUCACUAAUUGAAUGUGACUUUUGUAAUAAGUCCGGCUUAGUUCCAGGCAUAUAUCUUGCAAAUAAAUACUAUUCCAGGAGCACUAAUGAAAAGGUUAUUACAGUCUUACUCUGGGGUACAUUGUUGAAUGACACCUAAUGAUACAUGUAUGUGUAUUUAGGGACAAAUUGCAGGCCCCAUUCUUAUUUGUGAUAUAGGACAGCUCUCUUCUAGCUAUUAAGGGUCAGUUUCCUCAUCCGUCUAAUACAGAUGAAACUAUGUAUCCUCCAGAGUAAUUG